AUGUACAAAGGACUGUUGUUACCUGCUAUUCAACGUGCGAAGUCAUAAAUAAAACGUACAAAGUGAUAUACACAGACCUGUCCCGGAUGUGUUUUGAUGAUCAUGUUAUAUAUUGACUAGUAUUUGUCUUCAACUGCGUCUUUAAUGUUGCAUGCUUUUGUUGGUAACAUGUUAUCUCCAGUGUUUGUUGUGCUGUUGUCUUUGAUUGUCCUGGUAGCAUCAGCUGUGGACAGUAGCAAUUCAGGUUGUCAACUGACCAACCAGGAAUAUGGAAACGGUCUGGAUUCUGAAAAAAGGGCAUUUAAUCAAUUGAAGCCGCUGCUGGGGAAAAGGUUUACCACUACUGAUGUGGAGAAGGAAUAUAGAUAUAGUGUUGGUAUUUUCCGUGAUGCUGUAGAUGGAUAUAAAAAUGUUGGUGUUUUGCAAGAAAGUUUAAAAGAUAAAAGACGGCAUGUUAUAGGGUUGUAUAACUCAGCACAGAUAAUGAGUGGUGGUGAUUGUGUCAUGAUUGAAUAUAAGCACGGUGAAAGGUAUCAUACACAUUGCGACAUGGAGGAGAAAAGGGCCAUUAUUAUCAUUAAAUGUGACGAAACCGCUGACGAUGAUUUUCCUGACUUGAAAAUUAUAAAUAAGGCUAAAAAUAAAGUACAUGGCUGUUAUUAUUUAUUUGAAAUUCGCCAUAAAGCUGUUUGUAAAGUUCGUCCCGAAUGGUAUCAUAUUUAUUAUUACCAAGGCAACAGUCUGUCCUCUGAGGGUGCCAUUGUUGGCUGUGCCAGAUUUGUACAUGUUAUAGUUGCCAUGCACCUUUUGUUCUCUGUAUAUUUAUGAAUUAAACCGUUUAUUUUAUCAAUAUUUGAUUAUCAUGCAUAACAAUUUGAAUUUUAGUUAUUACAAUUUUGGUUCUUAAAAAUGUAAAAUGUAUGGAAACCGAUAAGUACCCUCUCGCUCCUGCUUGCUUGCGUCAACGAGGUGCGAAGGCAAAGCCAGGAAGGCGUCAAAAAUGUCCCCAAUAUCAUUCCCUCUUGCCUUCCCUGCGCUACGAGUAACAGCAAGGAGCCGACAAGACAAGAAAUAAACAUGGUGGAGGCAAGAAGAAGCGAGCGGGUACUUAUCAGCUUCCAUAAAAAUGUCCUGUUUUACAUUUUGUAUUUUGGAUACACCUGCCUUCCUUAUUUUGUAAUUCCCUGCAUUAUCCGGAUAUUAAUAAAAUAUUAAUGUUUGA
Patella vulgata (common limpet) is the source of this 1222-nucleotide long non-coding RNA. RefSeq lists it as uncharacterized. The transcript is spliced from 5 exons. The record is from RefSeq and is a predicted model, not a curated record. NCBI's taxonomy places the organism in Eukaryota, Metazoa, Mollusca, Gastropoda, Patellidae.